Molecule: unclassified non-coding RNA, 200 nt
Filed under: Cadophora sp.
Lineage: Eukaryota; Fungi; Ascomycota; Leotiomycetes; Helotiales; Ploettnerulaceae
Description: partial internal transcribed spacer 2
Source: RNAcentral
UUAAGUUCAGCGGGUAUCCCUACCUGAUCCGAGGUCAAACUUAGAGAGUUGGGGUUUGAUGACCACCGUCACCAGGACUCCGUAGCGAGGAAAUCUACUACGCUCAGAGCCUGAUGGCGCCGCCACUCGUUUUGAGGCCCGCCGGGUUAGCGGCGGAGCCCAAGACCAAGCAGUGCUUGAAGGUUGUGAUGACGCUCGAA